RNAcentral lists this ribosomal RNA (449 nucleotides) under uncultured Anaerolineaceae bacterium. RNAcentral's name for it is "bacterial SSU rRNA". It matches the Rfam family "Bacterial small subunit ribosomal RNA", at positions 920 to 1382 of the family's 1533-position model. The record is from RNAcentral. Lineage: Bacteria; Bacillati; Chloroflexota; Anaerolineae; Anaerolineales; Anaerolineaceae.
CCCGCACAAGCAGCGGAGCGUGUGGUUUAAUUCGAUGCUACACGAAGAACCUUACCAGGGUUUGACAUACAAGUAGUAGGGAAGGAAACUGGACCGACCCUUCGGGGAGCCAUUUACAGGUGUUGCAUGGCUGUCGUCAGCUCGUGUCGUGAGAUGUUCGGUUAAGUCCGCUAACGAGCGCAACCCUCGCUGUGUGUUAUAUGUGUCACACAGGACUGCUGGUAUUAAGCCGGAGGAAGGUGGGACGACGUCAAGUCAGCAUGACCUUUAUAUCCAGGGCUACACACACGCUACAAUGGUCAGUACAAUGGGUUGCCAAGCCGCGAGGCGGAGCCAAUCCUAAAAAGCUGGCCUCAGUUCAGAUUGCAGUCUGAAACUCGACUGCAUGAAGUCGGAGUUGCUAGUAAACGCAGGUCAGCUAUACUGCGUUGAAUACGUUCCCGGGGCUU